UUUACAUUUCCAUUUUACAACACCCAUACCCCUUUGGUUUUAAAAUAACAAAAGCUCCUCUCACGUUCAAUCUCGCUCUCUCGCUAUUCUGAACAAAUCGCCGAUUUUCAUCAGAUGGAGAUGAAGCAAAAAUUAUCAGCUUUUGGGACUAAUGAAUCCACCACUGCAAGUUUGUGUGAAAGUAACUCUUUGACUAAGGGUGAUUCUACAACAAAUGGGCCUGUCAGUGAUCAAAAUGUAAAUAACCCAACUAAUGUUGGAGUUAGUAAACAAAACGAGGCUUCCAGUAACUCACAUAGUGUUCCUUAUAUUUAUCGACAAGAUGUUGUCAAGAGUAAUACAAGUGGUUCAGUUGGGAUUGUGAGUGAAGUUGCUGGCGACUCAGAUUCAGAUGGAAGUGUAACUAAUGAUGAAGAUGAAGAUAAUGAGAAUGGAGAAGAUGAAAGCGGUGAUGUUGAUGCCAAUAGCAAUGCUAAUGGGAGUGGUGAGGGGAACAAAGGUGACCGUGAGUAUAACUGUGGUGAUCUUAAAGCCGAUCAAAUACGGGUACUAUGGCUAGAUGAUACUGAACCAGUUCAAAGUAUCAAGAAUGUAACUGUUGUUGAUAGGGGUUUCUUACAUGGUGAUUAUAUAGCUUCUGCUUCAGACUCGACUGGGCAGGUGGGUGUUGUGGUGGAUGUCAAUAUCUCUGUUGAUCUGUUGGCUCCUGAUGGAUCUACUAUAAAAGAUAUUUCCACUAGAGACUUGCAACGUGUGAGGGAUUUUGCUGUGGGUGAUUAUGUGGUUCUUGGUCCUUGGCUAGGUAGAAUAGAUGAUGUUUUAGAUAAUGUCAAUGUGUUGUUUGACGAUGGCGCUGAGUGCAAAGUUAUGAGGGCUGAACCGUUGCGUCUCAAACCAACUACCAGGAAUACCCUUGAAGACGAUAGUAAUUUCCCAUACUAUCCUGGCCAGCGUGUGCGGGCAAGCUCUUCUUCUGUUUUCAAGAAUUCUAGGUGGUUAUCUGGCUUAUGGAAGCCAAACCGGGUGCAAGGUACAGUAACUAAAGUAACAGCUGGAUCUGUGUUUAUUUAUUGGAUAGCAUCUGCUGGCUAUGGGCCUGAUUCUUCCACUGCCCCGGCUGAAGAGCAGAAUCCGAAGAAUCUAAAACUAUUGUCCUGUUUUACCCAUGCAAAUUGGCAAGUAGGUGAUUGGUGUCUUCUUCCAACUUCAUCGCAAUCCAUUCCUUUGGACAAGGGUUUUUCUAAACUGCAACGUAAUGGUUCCAUGAGAAAUGGGAGAAAUCGUGAAUGUCUCUCAGAAGAGAUGGAUGAAUCAAAUGAUAAUAUUGAAUCCAUGGAUCUUGAUGAAAUGUCUACACCUGAUGAAAGGAAUGCAAUUGUUGAAACUAAAGACAAUGGAACUAUAGACAAUAAAGUCUCACCUGAAUCUAGUUCUUGUAGCAGUUCAGUGUCAGUUUCAAAGGAGACUGUCCAUGAGCAUUGGCCCCUUCACCGCAAGAAGGUCCGUAAAGUUGUGAUUAGGAAAGACAAGAAAGCAAAAAAGAAAGGGGAUAAUUUUGAAAGGGCUCUUUUAGUUGUCAAUAGCAGAACAAGAGUUGAUGUCGCAUGGCAGGAUGGAACAGUUGAACGUGGAGUGGAUGCAACAAAGUUGAUCCCAAUUGAAACUCCUGGUGAUCAUGAAUUUGUUGCAGAGCAGUAUGUAGUGGAGAAAACCUCCGAUGAUGGUGAUGACACAUAUGAACCUAGACGAGUUGGGGUGGUCAAAAGUGUUAAUGCAAAGGAACGGACAGCUUGUGUAAAGUGGUUAAAGCCAGUUGCCAGGGCAGAGGACCCUCGUGAGUUUGACAAGGAGGAAAUUGUAAGUGUGUAUGAGCUGGAAGGACAUCCAGAUUAUGAUUAUUGUUAUGGUGAUGUAGUAGUUCGAUUACCCCUUGCUUCGUUUCGUGUGCAAUCUGUUUCUGAAGAAGGCUCCCUUGAGGAACCGAAGCCUGAAGAUGCAUUGAAGGAGGUGAAACGAGACUUUAAAAAGAACUCAGGAAACAAUGAAGUAGAAAGCGCAAAGCUGAAUGACACUUUCAUAGACUUCACAGAUCUCUCUUGGGUUGGGAACAUAACUGGCCUGAAAAAUGGUGAUAUUGAGGUUACAUGGGCUAAUGGGAUGGUCUCAACGGUUGGACCUCAAGCAAUUUAUGUUGUUGGUCGAGAUGAUGAUGAGUCAAUUGCUGCUGGGAGUGAAGUAAGUGAUGAUGCUGCUAGUUGGGAAACUGUUAAUGAUGAUGAGAUGGAUACUCUUGAGAAUGUUCAAGAGGAUCUCGAGUCACAAAAAACCAGUGGAAUUGUUUCGGAAGCGGAAGAGGGUAUGGAAAAUAAUUCUGGAAGGAAUGCAAUAUUAUCUUUCCCCUUAGCUGCAAUUGAUUUUGUCACCAGAGUAGCAAUUGGAUUCUUUUCAGGAAGACAGAAAAAUGUUGAUCCAACUGGUUUGGAUUCUGAAGGAGAAAAUGAGCGUGAGCCUGAGGGAAGUGAUCCCAGCUAUGAGUCUAGCUCACAGAAGUCUAAUGUUAUUGAUAAUUCCGGUGGGAAAUUUGUCAGUAGAAAUGGUCAGGAAUAUGUUGAAGUAGAGGCCAAGAAACAUUCACUUCCAGGGGAAGAUAAAUGCAACUUGAGGAUUGAAGACUCGGCUCCUAAAACAGGUGAUGAGGAUGAUGGUUGCAGUUUCAAGCGGUUCGAUACAGCUAAAGAUCCUCUAGAUCAUUAUUUCCUUGGUGCUAACGGACAGAAUAAUACCGGAAGGAAGUGGCUAAAGAAGGUUCAGCAAGAUUGGAACAUCCUUCAGAACAACCUGCCAGAUGGAAUCUAUGUACGAGUAUACGAGGAUCGGAUGGACCUCUUGAGGGCAGUAGUAGUUGGGGCAUAUGGGACACCUUAUCAAGAUGGUCUUUUCUUCUUUGAUUUUCACCUUCCUCCUGAGUAUUCUGAUGUGCCUCCGUCAGCAUACUAUCAUUCAGGUGGUUGGAGGCUAAAUCCUAAUCUAUACGAGGAAGGCAAGGUGUGCCUUAGCCUUCUAAACACAUGGACUGGCAGGGGAAACGAAGUUUGGGAUCCAUCGUCUUCGAGCAUACUUCAAGUCCUAGUUUCAUUGCAAGGGUUAGUGCUAAACACGAGACCAUAUUUCAACGAAGCUGGGUAUGAUAAGCAGGUUGGAACAGCUGAAGGAGAGAAAAAUUCUUUGGCAUACAAUGAGAAUACUUUCUUACUGAACUGCAAGUCGAUGAUGCACCUAAUGCGGAAGCCUCCAAAGGACUUUGAAGAACUUGUCAAAGACCAUUUCAGACGACGUGGUUAUUACAUCCUUAAAGCCUGUGAUGCAUACAUGAAAGGCUUCUUAAUCGGCUCUCUAACUAAAGAUGCCUCCAUUAACGAUGCGAACGACGCGGACUCCAAUUCAGUUGGCUUCAAGUUGAUGUUAGGCAAAAUCUCGCCAAAGCUUUUAUCGGCACUUAGCGAGGUCGGAGCUGAUUGUCAAGAAUUCAAGCAUCUCCAGCAGUCAUCAUAAUGGUAUGGGGUUUCCCCCCAAAAGACAAGACUCGUUAUCACCAUCAUGGAUGCAACAAAAGAGAGGAUGUUAACCGGAUUUGAGAUGAGUGUCGAAUAUGAGAACGAUGUAACACGAACAAGAGUAUGUUUAUGUUCGUUCGUUUAACAUUAACCGAACAAACGAACAGAUUAAAACAACUAUACGAACGAAGCUUCUUGUCUGUGUUCGUUCAUUAA
Molecule: RNA transcript, 3770 nt
Organism: Hibiscus syriacus
Lineage: Eukaryota; Viridiplantae; Streptophyta; Magnoliopsida; Malvales; Malvaceae
Gene name: probable ubiquitin-conjugating enzyme E2 23
Exons: 9
Source: RefSeq, a predicted model, not a curated record